CUCGGCCUGUAGGGCACACCGUGCUAGGUGUGACUGUCUAUUCGAAUCAGUGGAUUAUAAGACAGGAGGUCGCGUUUAAUACACAAAUUUAAAAUACGUUUUCAAGGUGUUGACAAAUACAAGUGAAUCGCCGUGGAAUUAUUUAAUUAUAUUUGGUGCUAUUAUUUUAUUUGAAUUCAAAUAAGUUACUAAACUAAGAAAUGAACCGGUUAAAGUAUGG
This 220-nucleotide long non-coding RNA is filed under the name Mytilus galloprovincialis (Mediterranean mussel). Lineage: Eukaryota; Metazoa; Mollusca; Bivalvia; Mytilida; Mytilidae. The record is from RNAcentral.